GCCCUUUAAAGCUUCACUUAAAGAUGGACCCCGCGUCUGAUUAGCUAGUUGGUGGGGGUAACAGCCUACCAAGGCGACGAUCAGUAGCCGGUCUGAGAGGAUGAACGGCCACAUUGGAACUGAGACACGGUCCAGACUCCUACGGGAGGCAGCAGUGGGGAAUCUUCCGCAAUGGGCGCAAGCCUGACGGAGCAACGCCGCGUGAGUGAAGAAGGGUUUCGACUCGUAAAGCUCUGUUGUCGGGGACGAAUGUCAGGACUCAGAAUAUGGGUUCUGAAUGACGGUACCUGACGAGGAAGCCACGGCUAACUACGUGCCAGCAGCCGCGGUAAUACGUAGGUGGCGAGCGUUGUCCGGAAUUAUUGGGCGUAAAGGGAGCGCAGGCGGGAAGGUAAGUCUAUCUUAAAAGUGCGGGGCUCAACCCCGUGAGGGGAUGGAAACUAUCUUUCUUGAGUGCAGGAGAGGAAAGCGGAAUUCCUAGUGUAGCGGUGAAAUGCGUAGAUAUUAGGAGGAACACCAGUGGCGAAGGCGGCUUUCUGGACUGUAACUGACGCUGAGGCUCGAAAGCGUGGGGAGCGAACAGGAUUAGAUACCCUGGUAGUCCACGCCGUAAACGAUGAAUGCUAGGUGUAGGAGGUAUCGACCCCUCCUUGCCGGAGUAACGCAAUAAG
Molecule: ribosomal RNA, 671 nt
Filed under: uncultured bacterium
Lineage: Bacteria
Description: bacterial SSU rRNA
Rfam family: Bacterial small subunit ribosomal RNA
Source: RNAcentral